CUAACAUCUAACAUAUUUGUCACUAAUAUAUAAAGUUGGAACUAAUAACUUCAAUUGAAAAUUAAUGUUAAAAAUCAAGAUAAAAACAUGUCAUAAAUCGUAAUCUAUUUCCCUAAACUUGAGAUGUAAGAAGCAAAAGAACAAACAUGUUUUGUGCACAGGUAAAAAAACACAUUAUAAAUUCAAGUUUUAUUGAAAGAACAAUGACAAUGAUUCACCUUAAUCACUGCUAACAAUUUUGUGUAUGUACGGACCAUUCUAGCACAUGCAUCUAUUCUAUUUAGACAUUCUUUCAAGCAAUUAGAAUAUGUCAUACUCUAUAUUUCUAACUUGCUGUUUCAAAGGUUACAACCAUUGCAUCAGAUGUUCUCUCAAAAUGUGAGGUGAACUGACCUGCUUCUAUAGCCGAGCUUAAAAAGAGAACUGAUGAAAGAGUUCUACUAGAAAAACAGGCUUAAUGACAAGAUUUUUUGGCUGAUAUAAUCAGUCGGCCUUGACCAUAUGAUUGAAUUAUAUGUUGACACUAUUAUUGAAACAACCCAACCCAAUUUUCUAUGGACCGUUAAAAACAACCUAUUUUAAUAAUGUUGCUCGCGGUCUCUCCCAUUUACUUGGAGGGCUAUGGUAUUCAUUUAGAGCCCAUUAUCUUUGUGUUGAGCCUUGUUUGGACCACUAAAUUAACCUAACCUAACUUACCAUUUUUGGCCACUCACUAGUUUAUAACUUAUGGCUCCUUCCACGCCUCCAUAUGAAGAACGCUCCAUCUCUUUCUGUGAUCUUGAUUCUCGGCCUUUUUCUUUCAAAUAACCUGUGUGGUUUUCUCUUGGGCUGUAUUGUUUCUUUAUCUUGGUCGACUCUUUGUGAGUAUAAAUAGCAACCGUAGGUGGGAAGAAAGAAAGUGAAAGUUGGGUGUUGUCUCAAUCGUGGUUGUGUCGAUAUUUGGUGAAAAUUGAGCCCGGUAUCGCCUUGGUUAUUGCUGGAAUUUCACCUCACACCUAUCAUUAAGCCUGUUUCUUC
RNAcentral lists this long non-coding RNA (1017 nucleotides) under Olea europaea subsp. europaea. The record is from RNAcentral. Lineage: Eukaryota; Viridiplantae; Streptophyta; Magnoliopsida; Lamiales; Oleaceae.